Molecule: long non-coding RNA, 200 nt
Organism: Apis dorsata (giant honeybee)
Lineage: Eukaryota; Metazoa; Arthropoda; Insecta; Hymenoptera; Apidae
Exons: 2
Source: RefSeq, a predicted model, not a curated record
AUUAUUUGUUAUAAUAUUAAAAUGAAAUAUUUGCUACAUUAUAAUACAGUAGAAUGAUCUAACUGAACUUAAUCGAAGCAUACAAACCUGAAGUGUGUGCUGAAUAAAUCCAACCUGAACUAUUCUAAUAGCAUGCAUCCGUGAGUAUAUGUAGGUUUAGUUUGUCACUAUAAAAAAUACGGAUUUAUAUAUUUCGUAAU